AGCCGGAAUCGCUAGUAAUCGCGGAUCAGAGUGCCGCGGUGAAUACGUUCCCGGGUCUUGUACACACCGCCCGUCACACCAUGGGAGUCGGAAAUGCCCGAAGUCUGUGACCCAACCUGAGAGGGAGGGAGCAGCCGAAGGCAGGUCUGAUGACUGGGGUGAAGUCGUAACAAGGUAUC
RNAcentral lists this ribosomal RNA (179 nucleotides) under uncultured bacterium. Its description in RNAcentral is "partial 16S ribosomal RNA". It matches the Rfam family "Bacterial small subunit ribosomal RNA", at positions 1324 to 1500 of the family's 1533-position model. The record is from RNAcentral.